UACGUAGGGGGCGAGCGUUGUCCGGAAUCAUUGGGCGUAAAGCGCGUGUAGGCGGCUCGGUAAGUCCGGUGUGAAACCUUGGGGCUCAACCCCAAGCCUGCACUGGAUACUGUCGAGCUUGAGUCCGGGAGGGGAGAGCGGAAUUCCUAGUGUAGCGGUGAAAUGCGCAGAUAUCAGGAGGAACACCGGUGGCGAAGGCGACAUCCUGGACCGGUAUUGACGCUGAGGCGCGAAAGCCAGGGGAGCAAACGGG
Molecule: ribosomal RNA, 253 nt
Filed under: uncultured bacterium
Lineage: Bacteria
Description: partial 16S ribosomal RNA
Rfam family: Bacterial small subunit ribosomal RNA
Source: RNAcentral